UGGAGUAUGUGGUUUAAUUCGAUGCAACGCGAAGAACCUUACCUGGUCUUGACAUCCCGGAGACCCUUAGGAAACUAGGGGGUGGCUUCCAUCUGGAAGAAUCUGGAGACAGGUGCUGCAUGGCUGUCGUCAGCUCGUGUCGUGAGAUGUUGGGUUAAGUCCCGCAACGAGCGCAACCCUUGCCUUUAGUUGCCAGCAGUUCGGCUGGGCACUCUAAAGGGACUGCCGGUGUUAAACCGGAGGAAGGUGGGGAUGACGUCAAGUCCUCAUGGCCUUUAUGACCAGGGCUACACACGUACUACAAUGGCCGAUACAAAGGGCAGCGACACUGCGAGGUGAAGCCAAUCCCGUAAAAUCGGUCUCAGUCCGGAUUGGAGUCUGCAACUCGACUCCAUGAAGUUGGAAUCGCUAGUAAUCGUGGAUCAGCAUGCCACGGUGAAUACGUUCCCGGGCCUU
Molecule: ribosomal RNA, 456 nt
Filed under: uncultured Desulfobulbus sp.
Lineage: Bacteria; Pseudomonadati; Thermodesulfobacteriota; Desulfobulbia; Desulfobulbales; Desulfobulbaceae
Description: bacterial SSU rRNA
Rfam family: Bacterial small subunit ribosomal RNA
Source: RNAcentral